AAAUAAAGAAAAACCACCGCUACCAACGGUGGUUUUCUCAAGGUUCGCUGAGCUACCAACUCUUUGAACCAAGGUAACUGGCUUGGAGGAGCGCAGUCACCAAAAUCUGUUCUUUCAGUUUAGCCUUAACAGGUGCAUAACUUCAAGACAAACUCCUCUAAAUCAGUUACCAAUGGCUGCUGCCAGUGGCGAUAAGUCGUGUCUUACCGGGUUGGACUCAAGACGAUAGUUACCGGAUAAGGCGCAGCGGUCGGGCUGAACGGGGGGUUCGUGCACACAGCCCAGCUUGGAGCGAACGACCUACACCGAACUGAGAUACCAACAGCGUGAGCUAUGAGAAAGCGCCACGCUUCCCGAAGGGAGAAAGGCGGACAGGUAUCCGGUAAGCGGCAGGGUCGGAACAGGAGAGCGCACGAGGGAGCUUCCAGGGGGAAACGCCUGGUAUCUUUAUAGUCCUGUCGGGUUUCGCCACCUCUGGCUUGAGCGUCGAUUUUUGUGAUGCUCGUCAGGGGGGCGGAGCCUAUGGAAAAACGCCUGCGGCGUUGGCUUCUUCCGGUGCUUUGCUUUUUGCUCACAUGUUCUUUCCGGCUUUAUCCCCUGAUUCUGUGGAUAACCGUAUUACCGCUUUUGAGUGAGCUGACACCGCUCGCCGCAGUCGAACGACCGAGCGUAGCGAGUCAGUGAGCGAGGAAGCGGAAG
This 699-nucleotide unclassified non-coding RNA is filed under the name Plasmid RSF1030. RNAcentral describes it as "partial miscellaneous RNA". The record is from RNAcentral.